UACGUAGGGUCCGAGCGUUGUCCGGAAUUACUGGGCGUAAGGAGCUCGUAGGUGGUUUGUCGCGUUGUUCGUGAAAACUCACAGCUCAACUGUGGGCGUGCGGGCGAUACGGGCAGACUGGAGUACUGCAGGGGAGACUGGAAUUCCUGGUGUAGCGGUGGAAUGCGCAGAUAUCAGGAGGAACACCGGUGGCGAAGGCGGGUCUCUGGGCCGAUACUGACGCUGAGGAGCGAAAGCGUGGGGAGCAAACAGG
RNAcentral lists this ribosomal RNA (253 nucleotides) under uncultured bacterium. RNAcentral describes it as "partial 16S ribosomal RNA". It matches the Rfam family "Bacterial small subunit ribosomal RNA", at positions 524 to 776 of the family's 1533-position model. The record is from RNAcentral.